Molecule: RNA transcript, 2536 nt
Organism: Hibiscus syriacus
Lineage: Eukaryota; Viridiplantae; Streptophyta; Magnoliopsida; Malvales; Malvaceae
Exons: 3
Source: RefSeq, a predicted model, not a curated record
AUAAUGAGCAAUGGCAUUAGCACGACAAGAAGAGGAAGGGAAAGAGAAAAGAGAAAACUGAAAAAGAAAUUGCACUCUAAAUAAAACACACAUUCAUAUUAUUAAUAUAUUAGUAUUAAAAAAAGGAAAGGAAAUUGAAAAAAAGACGAUAGAGGGAGCAAAAAGAAAUCGAUAGACGCUGCGAACAAUCCGACCCCAAACCCCGACAACUGUUAUGGCGCUGGAUUUCUCUGAAGCAACUUGCCUAAGAGAGUAAGAGUUCGAUUUGCAUUAUAUAGCAUGCAAAUUGGUGGAGUCGGAUUCAUUUUUGGCAUCUGAGAAAACUGUAAAUUGGGGUGGAAACAGGUCUCAGUGGUUUUAUAGUUCUGUGAAUGGUUUAGAAAUCUGCUUAUUGAGCAAUGCAACCACAGCAGGGCUCCAGAAUCAAUUUAGGCCAAUUAAAAGCUCAGAUAUUGAAGAAGAUUGGGGCUGAGAGGUCAAAAAGAUAUUUUUAUAAUUUGAGUAGGUUUUUGAGCCAGAAGCUUGGUAAAAGUGAGUUCGAUAAGUCAUGUUACCGCAUUCUGGGAAGGGAGAAUCUGCUACUGCAUAACCAGUUGAUACGCGCAAUAUUGAAAAAUGCAUGUCAGGCCAAGACUCCACCACCAGUUCAUGAAGCAGGUCCUGCUAGAUCUUCGAUACGAAAUGCUGAAAGUUAUGCUGGUAGAGAUGAUGGGCAUGAGCCAAUUGGAUCCCUUGUACCCAACCAGAAUUCAAACAUGACCAUUUCUUCGAAUGGGGUUUUGUCAAUGUCAUCCCUACGAAAGGUUAUAUCUGGAAUACAGGAUAGAAAGCUCAGGGAUCGGCCCAGCCCGCUGGGGCCAAAUGGAAAGGUUGAGAGUUUCUCACAUCAAUCCAUGGGUACUGAAGACAAUGGCAAUAAAUUGGGUCUAGAAAAUGGGGAUUUGACACCAUAUUACUAUCAGAGACCAUUACAGCAUCCUCAAACAGUUGCCGAGCAGCCUGAAAUUGAAAGAGAAGGUUUGGGGCGUUCCACAGGAAAACCAAGGGUGCUUAUCAAAGGUUUAACUGAAGGAGCUGUUGUUGAAGAUGGGGAGGGGGUGGAGCAAGCCAACCAUGUUGAUUUCUCUAGAAAUCCUUUGCUUGCACCUCUUGGGAUUCCAUUUUGCUCAGCUAGUGUUGGUGGCGCCCACAAAGCUCUGCCAGUGGCAAUCAGUGGCGACUUCAUUAGCUACUAUGACAGUGGUAGUUUGUAUGAUAAUGAGUCAUUGAAGAAACGUAUGGAACAGAUCGCAGCAGCGCAGGGCCUUGAAGGUGUUUCAUGGGAAUGUGCUAGUAUGUUGAACAACAUGUUGGAUGUAUACUUGAAGAGACUGAUUAGAUCAUGUGUCAAUCUGGUGGGUUCAAGAUCUACACGUGAAUUAAGGAAGCACAUUGCCCACAUGCAACAGCCUCAAAGCAAGCUUGUUAAUGGUUUUUGGCCAAGUAGUCACUUGCAUAUGCAGAGUAUUUCUGGGCCUACAGAAGGUUUACAGGAAAAGCGGCUGGGGUGCUCGAUUUCUUUGCUUGAUUUCAAAGUUGCAAUGGAGCUAAAUCCCCAUCAACUGGGUGAAGAUUGGUCAUUGCUGCUGGAAAAAAUAUGUAUGCAUUCAUUUGAAGAAUGAACGCUCAACAAAAAAUUGUUUAUCAUGAAGCUGUUAGAAGGAUAUGUUCAUCCUGGUUCAAUGUGCUCGACAAAUGUUGAAGCUGCCUGUUCGUUUACAUUUACUGACAUGAACCAGAUUGUUCCCAGUCAGAUAAAGCUCUGGCCCUCGCAAGAUUAAAUUAUGGGUUUGAGUUUUGGGAUGCCUAUACCCUUGCUGCAGAGCUGGGACUGAUCAGAUUAUUAUUUUUGAGCAACUGAGCUAAAGUGCUGAAAAAGGAAGUGCUUACAACUCGUUGCUCUGUUGUACAAUUAGCAUGUUGUUGGCUGUCUUCUACAGAUCUCAAUCUUUUCUUGUAAUUUACAGCCAUUGAGGUGGAAGUCUGAGAAAGUUUUGCAGAGGCACUGCCUUGUAGCUUGGUGAAAGGUACCAUAGUGUAGAUGGGUAACAACACUUUGUUUUCUGCGAUCAGCAUUAACGUUGUUAGCCAUUUCUGCUAUCCGUGCCAUGCAGCAGAUAUGCAGAGUUUCAGUUGUUGAACCAGUGACUGGUGUUUCUCAUAUCGUGAAAACACCUGAAAAGUAUGUAAUUUGUGCUUGCUGAUGGUUGCAGAUGAUUGUGAAGAACUUAUGAUGGACUAUAUGAAAUACCAAAUCUCCAACUGUGAAGGCGGAUCGUUAGAUGCAAUGCUUGUGAAGACCAAUUUAAUUUGCUAUGUUGUAUAUAUGGGAAACAUUGGGCAGUGGCAUGGUUAACCAAGAAAUCUAGCGCAUUCUGAUUGCUACAACCACAAAUGUUCAAAAAGAUAUUUUGUUUUACUAGCAAUCAAGGAAAGUAUAUAAACGAAAACUAAAUGAGCCUAACUGAUUGCUAUUUUCAUUCACAUUUCUUUUGAA